CAGUCGCCGCGGUAAUACGUAGGUGGCAAGCGUUGUCCGUAAUUAUUGGGCGUAAAGCGCGCGCAGGCGGAUCAGUCAGUCUGUCUUAAAAGUUCGGGGCUUAACCCCGUGAUGGGAUGGAAACUGCUGAUCUAGAGUAUCGGAGAGGAAAGUGGAAUUCCUAGUGUAGCGGUGAAAUGCGUAGAUAUUAGGAAGAACACCAGUGGCGAAGGCGACUUUCUGGACGAAAACUGACGCUGAGGCGCGAAAGCCAGGGGAGCGAACGGGAUUAGAUACCCCGGUAGUCCCUGUCUCUUAUACA
This 301-nucleotide ribosomal RNA is filed under the name uncultured bacterium. Its description in RNAcentral is "partial 16S ribosomal RNA". It matches the Rfam family "Bacterial small subunit ribosomal RNA", at positions 509 to 809 of the family's 1533-position model. The record is from RNAcentral.